UGAAUUUUUAUGAUGAUUUCAUAGUUCAACUGAACACUUUGAUGUAUAACUAGCAUAUGUCUUUCGCUCCUAUCUGAAUCAUAUU
Trichogramma pretiosum is the source of this 85-nucleotide small nucleolar RNA. RefSeq annotates it as small nucleolar RNA snR60/Z15/Z230/Z193/J17. The record is from RefSeq and is a predicted model, not a curated record. Lineage: Eukaryota; Metazoa; Arthropoda; Insecta; Hymenoptera; Trichogrammatidae. The transcript has a single exon.